CGCGAUUCGCCCUUCGGGGUGCAGCAGGCGCGAAAACUUUACAAUGCGGGAAACCGUGAUAAGGGAACUCCGAGUGCCCGUAAAAUCGGGCUGUCCAUCUGUUUAAAUAACAGGUGAAGAAAGGGCCGGGCAAGACCGGUGCCAGCCGCCGCGGUAAUACCGGCGGCUCGAGUGGUGGCCACUAUUACUGGGCUUAAAGCGUUCGUAGCUGGUCUGUUAAGUCUCUGGGGAAAUCUACUGGCUUAACCAAUAGGCGUUUCAGGGAUACUGGCAGACUAGGGACCGGGAGAGGUGAGGGGUACUCCAGGGGUAGGAGUGAAAUCCUGUAAUCCUUGGGGGACCACCUGUGGCGAAGGCGCCUCACCAGAACGGCUCCGACAGUGAGGGACGAAAGCUGGGGGAGCAAACCGGAUUAGAUACCCGGGUAGUCCCAGCCGUAAACGAUGCGCGUUAGGUGUAUCGGUGACCACGAGUCACCGAGGUGCCGAAGAGAAAUCGUGAAACGUGCCGCCUGGGAAGUACGGUCGCAAGGCUGAAACUUAAAGGAAUUGGCGGGGGAGCAC
RNAcentral lists this ribosomal RNA (563 nucleotides) under uncultured archaeon. Its description in RNAcentral is "bacterial SSU rRNA". It matches the Rfam family "Archaeal small subunit ribosomal RNA", at positions 312 to 879 of the family's 1478-position model. The record is from RNAcentral.